Molecule: transfer RNA, 75 nt
Filed under: Escherichia coli
Lineage: Bacteria; Pseudomonadati; Pseudomonadota; Gammaproteobacteria; Enterobacterales; Enterobacteriaceae
Also listed under: 3 other names
Description: tRNA-Met
Rfam family: tRNA
About the family: Transfer RNA (tRNA) molecules are approximately 80 nucleotides in length. Their secondary structure includes four short double-helical elements and three loops (D, anti-codon, and T loops).
Source: RNAcentral
GCGGGGUGGAGCAGCCUGGUAGCUCGUCGGGCUCAUAACCCGAAGGUCGUCGGUUCAAAUCCGGCCCCCGCACCA